ACGGAGAAGUGAACAGCGCUCUCUCUCUCCCUCUACCUCAGUCACUCAGGUUUGCAGGUCUUUUCCGUUAACAUUUAGGGUUUCUUCAGCUUCAGGUUUGUUUUUUACUUUGGUUCAAACUAGUACUUACUUAGUAACCAGUAGAUAUCUAGUAAACGUGGGGUUUGUUCAGACACGGCGCUUGGUAGACUGUGACUCGCGUUGCGUCUCUGUCUGUCGGAGUUUUUUUUUUUUUUGAAACCGCCUGCUGGCUCUAACCAGAUCUGAAAAACACC
Molecule: long non-coding RNA, 275 nt
Organism: Etheostoma spectabile (orangethroat darter)
Lineage: Eukaryota; Metazoa; Chordata; Actinopteri; Perciformes; Percidae
Exons: 3
Source: RefSeq, a predicted model, not a curated record